This 332-nucleotide ribosomal RNA is filed under the name uncultured bacterium. RNAcentral's name for it is "bacterial SSU rRNA". It matches the Rfam family "Bacterial small subunit ribosomal RNA", at positions 568 to 898 of the family's 1533-position model. The record is from RNAcentral.
UGCGUAGGCGGCCGGGUAAGUCUGAUGUGAAAUCCCGCAGCUUAACUGCGGAACGGCAUUGGAUACUAUUCGGCUCGAGGAGUGGAGGGGAGACUGGAAUACUUGGUGUAGCAGUGAAAUGCGUAGAUAUCAAGUGGAACACCAGUGGCGAAGGCGAGUCUCUGGACACUUCCUGACGCUGAGGCACGAAAGCCAGGGGAGCAAACGGGAUUAGAUACCCCGGUAGUCCUGGCCCUAAACGGUGCGCGUUUGCUGUGAGCGGAAUCGACCCCGCUCGUGGCGAAGCUAACGCGUUAAACGCGCCGCCUGGGAAGUACGGCCGCAAGGUUAAA